This 337-nucleotide ribosomal RNA is filed under the name uncultured bacterium. Its description in RNAcentral is "partial 16S ribosomal RNA". It matches the Rfam family "Bacterial small subunit ribosomal RNA", at positions 338 to 668 of the family's 1533-position model. The record is from RNAcentral.
CCUACGGGAGGCUGCAGUAGGGAAUUUUCGGCAAUGGGGGGAACCCUGACCGAGCAACGCCGCGUGAAGGAAGAAGGUCUUCGUUCUGUAAACCUCUGUUAUUAAGGAAGAAAGACGGAUGGAGUAACUGACCUCCUAUUGACGGUACUUUAUGAGAAAGCCACGGCUAACUACGUGCCAGCAGCCGCGGUAAUACGUAGGUGGCAAGCGUUAUCCGGAUUUAUUGGGCGAAAAGAGAGCGCAGGCGGCCGUAAAGGUCUGUGGUGAAAGCCUGGAGCUUAACGUCAGUAUGCCAUAGAAACCGGGAGGCUAGAGUGCAGGAGAGGAGAGUGGAAUU